UUGAGGAAGAUGGCGGCGGCAGGAGCGUCCGGGCGGGGCGGGCUGGGUCGGGCGUGGGUCUUCUCUGGCUGGGCCCUGGGCCUGUGCUCCCUGCUGGCCUCGGGGACGCGGCCCGCCGCUGCCACCACCCACUGGGUGGUCACCGAGGAUGGGAAGAUCCAGCAGCAGGUGGAUUCACCAAUGAACUUGAGGAACCCACAUGAUUUGGUAAUACUAAUGAGACAAGAAACAACAGUUAACUACCUCAAAGAACUGGAGAAACAGUUAGUUGCUCAAAAGAUUCAUAUAGAGGAAAAUGAGGACAGAGACACAGGGCUGGAACAAAGGCAUAAUAAAGAGGAUCCGGACUGCAUUAAAGCAAAGGUGCCCUUGGGGGACCUAGAUCUAUACGACGGCACAUACAUCACCUUAGAGAGCAAAGAUAUCCGCCCUGAAGAUUAUAUAGACACAAAGUCGCCAGUGCCUCCAGACCUGCAGCAGCCAGACUGUACAAAAGUUCUAGAUCUUCCAUACAGCAUUCAUGCUUUUCAGCACUUACGGGGUGUCCAAGAAAGAGUUAAUCUUUCCGCACCCUUGUUACCUAAAGAAGAUCCAAUCUUCACAUACUUAUCACGGAGGCUGGGAAGAAGUAUAGAGGAAAUAGGUCAUCGUAUUUAUGACGGGCUAAUGAAGAACUCGUCUUCCUGGGUACUCUAUAACAUGGCUUCCUUUUACUGGCGAAUAAAGAAUGAGCCAUACCAAGUAGUAGAAUGUGCCAUGCGUGCCCUUCAUUUUUCUUCAAGGCAAAAUAAAGAUAUUGCACUGGUAAAUUUGGCAAAUAUUCUGCACCGAGCUCACUUCUCUGCAGAUGCAGCUAUUGUGGUCCAUGCAGCUCUGGAUUACAGUGACUUCUUUACCAGCUAUUACACUUUGGGAAAUAUAUACGCAAUGCUUGGAGAGUACAACCACUCAGUCCUGUGUUAUGAUCAUGCUCUACAGGCAAAACCAGGGUUUGAGCAAGCCGUAAAAAGGAAGCAUGCUGUCCUAUGUCAGCAAAAACUUGAGCAAAAAUUGGAAGCCCAGCAUAGAUCACUUCAGCGAACAUUAAAUGAAUUGAAGGAAUAUCAGAAGCAGCAUGACCAUUACCUUAGGCAACAAGAUGUGUUAGACAAGUACAAGCUCAUCCAGGAGGAACAAAUCUUGAGGAACAUCAUUCAUGAGACACAGAUGGCAAAAGAAGCUCAAUUAGGGAACCAUCAGAUUUGUAGACUGGGCAAUCAGCAGCAUAGCUUACACUGCCAGUGGGACCAGCCUGUUCGUUAUCACCGUGGAGACAUUUUUGAAAAUGUGGAAUAUGUUCAGUUUGGUGAAGACUCUUCAACUUCUAGUAUGACAUCUGUGAAUUUGGAUCUUCAUGCAAACCAAAGCGACCACAGUCAAUCCUUGCAGUCUUCCCCUGUUGCUCGUUCUGUCGUCUCAGUGUGGAGUGUAGAACCCAACAGAGACAAACAGCAUAUUCUUUGGCCUCAGCGAUCAGAGUGCAUGAAAUCUUUCCCCAAAAUUCCUGAUCCAGAACAACUGCCAACUUAUUUUCUGCCUCCAGAAAACAGGGGAUUCAGAGUCCAGCCAAUCCUGAGUAUCCCAAGAGAUGCUGUCGGGCAUGGAGAAACCCAGGCCCCAGACUGUUCUUCCAUUACUGAUGCUCGUAACAACGAAUCUCUAAAUAUACUGGUCAAGGAACUAGACAGUAAUCUAGAUUUGAAAUUCAAGAUGCCAGAUGAUCAAGCAAGACAAGUCUUGUAUUCUCGUAUCAACAAUCAAAUUAUUACACAGGCGAAGAUAGGAGCAUUUCUAGAUCACGCCAUGAAAAAGCCAGAAGAUCCUCUAUGGCUUGUGCUUAAUGAAGCUGGAUUGUACUGGCGUGCAGUUGGAAAUGGCACCUUUGCUAUCACCUGUUUGCAAAAAGCAUUUAAUUUGGCUCCACAUGAGUAUCAGGACAUCCCUCUAGUCAAUCUUGCUAACCUCUUGAUUCAUUAUGGUCUUCAUUUGGAUGCCAGCAGGCUCCUGCUGAAGGCUUUGGCCAUCAAUGCCUCUGAGCCCCUGACGUUUUUGAGCCUAGGAAACGCGUAUCUGGCUCUGAACAACAUUAGUGGAGCCCUGCAAGCCUUCAGACAUGCACUGGAUUUGACGACCAAGUGCUUGGAGUGUGAAAGCAGCCUGAAGAUGAUCCGCUGUUUGCAGUUUUAUCCUUUUCUGUACAACAUCACCUCUUCUGUGUGCAGUGGCCACUGUCAUGAGAAAAAUCCAGACGGCAGUCACGACAAGGAGAAAUACUUUGAUGACCACCAUGAGUCAGUUACAGCUGUGGCAGAAGGAGACUCUGAGGGAGGUACAGAACAUGCAGAAGUCCUUACUCAGAGUUCAGCAAGGGAUCCCUCCUUCUUGAGGCUGGAAAACACAGUCACUGCAGAAAGUAAUGGUUCAGAAGGAAUGGAGGGUUUAGAAGAUGAACAGAUGUCUGAAGAGAUGCUGGCUUUGGUGGAUGAGUUUGAAAACUCUUGGCCUCAGGAAGCUUUUGAAGGGGCACUGGAGGUAAAAGGUCGUCGGAUGGACUUGCAGGGAAUCCGGGUCCUAAAGAAGGGAUCUCAGGAUGGACUGGCUAGCUCCUGUUUUGGGGACUGCGGUGAUGAUGAUGAGGCUGAAUGGAUCACUUUUCAGGUCAAACGUUUAAAGAAACCAAAAGCUGAAAGCUUGGAUCUCCAGGAGCCAGUUGGGAGAAACGGAGAAGAAGGGACUAAUGUAGAAAAUGAAAACUUUUACCAAACUGCCCUGGAGAUCAGUGGACCAAAGAUACCUUCUCCUGGACCAAUAGGAAAAAGACGUGACUAUCGUAGCCUUGGCUGGCCAAGUCCUGAUGAAUGCCUGAAACUCCGUAGGGUAGAGCUUACAACUGUAGCCAGCACAUGGCUUGCUGUUUCUGCUAAAAGCAUUGACAUUACAGAACACAUUGAUUUUGCCACGCAGCUGCAAGAACCAGCCAUGGAGCCCCUUUGUAACCCAAAUCUACCAGCCAGUAUGCAUACUUUGGACCACCUGCAAGGUGUCUCUAGUCGAGCCAGCUUGCAUUACACUGGGGAAAGUCAACUGAAAGAGGUGCUACAGAAUCUUGGCAAAGACCAGUACUCACCACAGUCAUUAGAACAAGUUGGUACUCGAAUAGCCAAAGCUUUGGAAAAGAAUCAGACUUCAUGGGUCCUCUCUAGCAUGGCAGCUCUUUACUGGCGAGUGAAAGGCCAAGGAAAGAAGGCAAUUGAUUGCUUACGGCAAGCAUUGCAUUAUGCACCCCAUCACAUGAAGACAACUGCAAAAGAGAUUGAGUGGAAUUUCCUGCAGUUCAGUGUGUUUGACACCUCUGUGGGCAAUGCAGGCUUGAACUUUCCCGUUACAUAGGACUUUGAAUCUUCAUCAGCCUUUGUCUGGACAAGCCUUCUAACCUAAGAUGUGGGGAGUAUAUCUUCUGAUUAUGCUUUUAAAGGGGGAGUUUAUCUUCUGGUUGUGCUUUUAAAGAGCUGAGGAGGUGAUAUCUAAAGGAAUAAUUUAAAUGCUUACAUUUUAAGCGUAUGGGCUGUGAAUCUCAGCUGGACACUAGUGCCUGACUAUGUGCAGCAGUUCUCAAAAAAAAAGGCAGUACUUUGGACAUAAUCUUCUGUUUUGUGUUUUAGUUGACUAAAGUGCCUUAUACCCUUCACCUUGCCACAUGGUGUGCUGAGCAUUAUAGUGUCUAUUCUUAAACACCAAACUCCCCCUUGCAAACUCAUAAUGCAAUAUAGGCUCCUCACUCAACAUUGCAGAUUUCACUUUGGGACGUGAGCAACAAAUUGUGCAGCAUUGUGCUGUGUGUACUACUUUUUGAAUCUUGGUCUUAAAUCCUUCUCUGAAAAUCGUGAGACAAAGUAAUUUACACUCUCGGGAUAUUAUUAGUAGGAUUUAGCCAUUAUCAGUAGAAAUGCACAUCCCCACUGCACAUCCUAUAUAUCUAUGUCCCCUAUAAUUCUGUCUCUUUGCAUUUGUCAUUUUAAAACAAGGUUGGAACCAAGAUCUAACAUAACAAGCUCUUGUUUAUUUUCCUGUCUUUCUAUCUAACUGGGAAUGGUUCUUCAGAAAUGGAGCCUUUAGCUGUGUGACUUGUAAGGGUCAGAGUAUGGAUUGGAAACUACAAUUUGGCAAGAUUAUGGGGUAGUAAUGCUGUUUUCUAGAUAUGUGAUAUAAAGUUGCUUGAGACUGGCUGACUGUCCAAAUUUGUGCCUUGUUUUUGUCCUCCGUACUGAAGCUACCUCCGGAGAAAGCUGUUGUAAAGAUACAGCUGCAACUUGAAUUAAGUGAGAGUUGGCACUGAAUUAACAGCUACUUAGUGGGUUUUGUUUUUUAUCCUCCUCUUUGGCUUUAUGCACUCUGGCUAUUUUCUCUUGCCUUUUCUCAUGUAAAUAAAAGGUAAUUAAUUUUCCUGUGGGCUGCUUUUGUGAUUCUGACUUCCAUAAUAUCUGCUUUGCAAACAUGAAUGACUUAUCCACCAAAGGUAUUCCUUGCCUUGUGGAGGUCAAGGAUGCAGGGAUCAAAUACAUCCAGAAUUUUUUAUUGUCCUGUUGAGGGCACCUAAGACUUAAUACCAAGCAGUAUUUUGUCCUUUGAAGGUGUAAAGCUCAGCUCCCGGAGAGUCUGUUAUGGUUGUCAGGGCUCAACAGUUUUGUCAGUCAAACAAGGUCACAGUCUGGAAAUACAGGAAAUAAAAAAUGUACCAUCAGUGACUAGCUGAGGAAAUUGUAUUUAUAGCUGUUAUCCAGCAUCGUAUAGGAAUUCUGUGGCAGAGGCAGGAUAAAAAUGGUACAUCAGUUGUAGUAAUGGUUAGACCCUUUUUUCACUUCCCUGCUGUCCCCUUUUGUUCAUAUUUCUUCCCCUUUUAUGCAAGAGCUGAAGGAGGAUGGUCAAACAAAACAGCUUCUCUUGUCUCUGAGAAUGCAUCUCAUCUUUGGGGAGAAAACUAGUGCAAGAGCAUCUGAAAAACAAAUGUACAUACUAGGACACUUAAGAUGUACCACUAAUAAGCCUAGCAAACAUCUUCCACAACGCAAAACUCUGGAAUGAUGCCAUCAUUGUGGCCACCAUGGCAGUGGAAAUAGCACCACACUUUGUGGUUAAUCAUUUCACACUGGCAAAUGUCUACG
Molecule: RNA transcript, 5201 nt
Organism: Grus americana (Whooping crane)
Lineage: Eukaryota; Metazoa; Chordata; Aves; Gruiformes; Gruidae
Gene: TTC17
Gene name: tetratricopeptide repeat domain 17
Exons: 25
Source: RefSeq, a predicted model, not a curated record